This 439-nucleotide ribosomal RNA is filed under the name uncultured bacterium. Its description in RNAcentral is "partial 16S ribosomal RNA". It matches the Rfam family "Bacterial small subunit ribosomal RNA", at positions 339 to 795 of the family's 1533-position model. The record is from RNAcentral.
CUACGGGCCGCACCAGUGGGGAAUAUUGCACAAUGGAGGAAACUCUGAUGCAGCAACGCCGCGUGGAGGAUGACACUUUUCGGAGUGUAAACUCCUUUUAUAUAGGAAGAAGAUGACGGUACUAUAUGAAUAAGCGCCGGCUAACUCCGUGCCAGCAGCCGCGGUAAUACGGAGGGCGCAAGCGUUACUCGGAAUCACUGGGCGUAAAGAGCGUGUAGGCGGAUUAAAAAGUCAGAAGUGAAAUCCUAUAGCUUAACUAUAGAACUGCUUCUGAAACUCUUAAUCUAGAAUAUGGGAGAGGUAGAUGGAAUUUCUGGUGUAGGGGUAACAUCCGUAGAGAUCAGAAGGAAUACCGAUUGCGAAGGCGAUCUACUAGAACAUUAUUGACGCUGAGACGCGAAAGCGUGGGGAGCAAACAGGAUUAGAUACCCUGGUAGUC